This 271-nucleotide ribosomal RNA is filed under the name uncultured prokaryote. RNAcentral's name for it is "partial 16S ribosomal RNA". It matches the Rfam family "Bacterial small subunit ribosomal RNA", at positions 524 to 794 of the family's 1533-position model. The record is from RNAcentral.
UACGUAGGUGGCAAGCGUUGUCCGGAAUUACUGGGUGUAAAGGGCGUGUAGGCGGGAAGGCAAGUCAGAUGUGAAAUCCCAGGGCUUAACUCUGGAGCUGCAUCUGAAACUGUUUUUCUUGAGUACUGGAGAGGAAAGUGGAAUUCCUAGUGUAGCGGUGAAAUGCGUAGAGAUUAGGAGGAACACCAGUGGCGAAGGCGGCUUUCUGGACAGUAACUGACGCUGAGGCGCGAAAGCGUGGGGAGCAAACAGGAUUAGAUACCCGGGUAGU